RNAcentral lists this ribosomal RNA (328 nucleotides) under uncultured eukaryote. RNAcentral's name for it is "partial 18S ribosomal RNA". It matches the Rfam family "Eukaryotic small subunit ribosomal RNA", at positions 1470 to 1796 of the family's 1831-position model. The record is from RNAcentral.
CCCUUAGAUGUCCGGGGCUGCACGCGCGCUACACUGAAGGAAUCAGCGUGCUAAAACCAUUGUCGAAAGGCAUUGGUAAACCCAUUAAAAUCCUACGUGAUUGGGAUCGGGAAUUGCAAUUAUUUCCCUUGAACGAGGAAUUCCCAGUAAGUGUGGGUCAUAAGCUCGCGUUGAUUACGUCCCUGCCCUUUGUGCACACCGCCCGUCGCUGCCCGGGACUGAGCCGUUUCGAGAAAAGCGGGGACUGCUGCUGUCGGGGCUUUCGGGCCUUGGCUUCGGUGGAAACCGCUUUAAUCGCAGUGGCUUGAACCGGGCAAAAGUCGUANCA